GGCUAACGCUGGCGGCGUGUCUUAGCCAUGCAAGUCGAGCGGACUUAUGGGGUAACUUAUAAGUCAGCGGCGGACGGCGGAGUAACACGUAGCUAACCUACCCUCUGGACGGGGAUAACCUACCGAAAGGUGGGCUAAUACUCGAUGUAGUCAUCCUGUAUAGGGGUGAUGAAAGGUGGGCUUCUGUUUACAAGCUCAUGCUGGAGGAGGGGGCUGCGGCCUAUCAGGUAGUUGGUAGGGUAAUAGCCUACCAAGCCGAUGACGGGUAGCCGGCCUGAGAGGGUGACCGGCCCGAGGGGCACUGAGAUACGGGUCCCACUCCUACGGGAGGCAGCAGGCUAGAAAUUUGGGCAAUGGGGGAAACCCUGACCCAGUGACGCCGCGUGCAGGAAGGAGCCCUUCGGGGUGUAAACUGCUGUCGUGUAGGGAGAAGGGUACUAAGGUGAACAAUCUUAGUACUUGACGGUACUACAGGAGGAAGCCCAGGCUAACCUCGUG
Molecule: ribosomal RNA, 498 nt
Filed under: uncultured bacterium
Lineage: Bacteria
Description: bacterial SSU rRNA
Rfam family: Bacterial small subunit ribosomal RNA
Source: RNAcentral